Long non-coding RNA from Paramacrobiotus metropolitanus, 889 nucleotides. RefSeq lists it as uncharacterized. The record is from RefSeq and is a predicted model, not a curated record. The transcript is spliced from 4 exons. NCBI's taxonomy places the organism in Eukaryota, Metazoa, Tardigrada, Eutardigrada, Parachela, Macrobiotidae.
CAAUAACUAAGCUUCAAGCUUUUUCACACCUAAAGAAGUCAAGCCACAAAUAAUCCAUUAAAAAUUUGUAUAUCUAUAGAAGUUAUCAGUAUGCCUCGCAAGGAAUACGGAAUGGUGGAUCCAAAGAUUCCCUUCCCUUGCAAGGCCCUGUACAGAGAAAUAGUAAACGGCGAGGAAUCCGUACUCGUUGACUGGGGACGUUCAAGGCUUGACAAUUGACAUUGACCAAUACUUCGCUACCGAUGGCUGGAUCCCCCCGCUGUUUGAUCCAGCAAUUCGCCAAGAAGCUCCGGAAGGAACAUAUGACUUGGAAAAACACCAUCAACGAGUUUAAGCGGCAGCGGUACGAGUCCGAUCGCACCACGAUUGGAAAUUAUACCGCUGCCCGUGGUGCCGAUAUUACGACGCCAUUCCGCGGUUCCGAGAGAGCGUGCUGGUGCAUAUGCACGGGAUAGCAACGGGGAACCCGGAAAACCAGCGGCCCGUAAAAGCACCACGUAAAAGCACACUGACACAUAUAUGCAGAAUCCUUGGAGUGUGCACAAGUCUGGUUCAAAACAGCACAGAUAACACUUAGAAUGAUUCCCGUAAUUCUUCAUUCUGCACCCAAAGCUGCGCAGAAGCCACUUUUUUUCCCGACAAUCCAAAAUCAAAGGAUGGAAAACUUCGAAAAUUCUCAAAAUGUGAGCCGAAUCACGAUGCCACACCGGGCGGUGCCACCUGCGUCGAGCGUCGGAAGUCCCAAAAAUUCAUUACUGUAAAAUUACUGUAAUUCGCUGCUCCCUGCGUAACAUUUCACCUGAAUUUGAGACGCGUCAUCAUAAAGUAGCGGUUUUUUCACUUGGUAAGCACGGAGCUUUUUAUACAAGCAGAAUAAUAAAGAAUAAAA